RNAcentral lists this ribosomal RNA (798 nucleotides) under uncultured Verrucomicrobiota bacterium. RNAcentral's name for it is "bacterial SSU rRNA". It matches the Rfam family "Bacterial small subunit ribosomal RNA", at positions 58 to 834 of the family's 1533-position model. Lineage: Bacteria; Pseudomonadati; Verrucomicrobiota. The record is from RNAcentral.
CAAGUCGGACGAGAUUUUCCGUUGUAGCAAUACGAUGGAAAGUCUAGUGGCGAACGGGUGCUUAACACGUGGGCAACCUGCCGAGAAGUGGGGGACAGCUCGCCGAAAGGCGAAUUAAUACCGCAUGUGAUCAGAGAGGACAUCCUUUCGAAAUUAAAGUCGGGGCAACCUGACGCUUCUUGUGGGGCCCGCGGCCUAUCAGCUAGUUGGUGAGGUAACGGCCCACCAAGGCUUUGACGGGUAGCUGGCCUGAGAGGACGACCAGCCACACUGGGACUGAGACACGGCCCAGACACCUACGGGUGGCAGCAGUCGAGAAUUUUUGACAAUGGGGGAAACCCUGAUCGAGCGACGCCGCGUGGAGGAUGAAGGUCUUCGGAUUGUAAACUCCUGUCAUUGGGGAACAAUGCGUGACGGUUAACUGCCGUCGCGUUGAUAGUACCCGAAGAGGAAGAGACGGCUAACUCUGUGCCAGCAGCCGCGGUAAUACAGAGGUCUCAAGCGUUGUUCGGAUUCAUUGGGCGUAAAGGGUGCGUAGGCGGCGCGGUAAGUCGGGUGUGAAAUCUCGGAGCUUAACUUCGAAACUGCAUUCGAUACUGCCGUGCUUGAGGACUGGAGAGGAGACUGGAAUUUACGGUGUAGCGGUGAAAUGCGUAGAUAUCGUAAGGAAGACCAGUGGCGAAGGCGGGUCUCUGGACAGUUCCUGACGCUGAGGCACGAAGGUCAGGGGAGCAAACGGGAUUAGAUACCCCGGUAGUCCUGACAGUAAACGGUGCACGUUUGGUGUGGGAAGGAUUC